Molecule: ribosomal RNA, 429 nt
Filed under: Gemmatimonadota bacterium
Lineage: Bacteria; Pseudomonadati; Gemmatimonadota
Description: Gemmatimonadetes bacterium partial 16S ribosomal RNA
Rfam family: Bacterial small subunit ribosomal RNA
Source: RNAcentral
UAGGGAAUCUUCGGCAAUGGACGAAAGUCUGACCGAGCAACGCCGCGUGAGUGAAGAAGGUUUUCGGAUCGUAAAACUCUGUUGUUAGAGAAGAACAAGGACGUUAGUAACUGAACGUCCCCUGACGGUAUCUAACCAGAAAGCCACGGCUAACUACGUGCCAGCAGCCGCGGUAAUACGUAGGUGGCAAGCGUUGUCCGGAUUUAUUGGGCGUAAAGCGAGCGCAGGCGGUUUCUUAAGUCUGAUGUGAAAGCCCCCGGCUCAACCGGGGAGGGUCAUUGGAAACUGGGAGACGUGAGUGCAGAAGAGGAGAGGGGAAUUCCAUGUGUAGCGGUGAAAUGCGUAGAUAUAUGGAGGAACACCAGUGGCGAAGGCGGCUCUCUGGUCUGUAACUGACGCUGAGGCUCGAAAGCGUGGGGAGCAAACAGG